CGGCGGACGGGUGAGUAACGCGUGGGUAACCUACCCUGUACACACGGAUAACAUACCGAAAGGUAUGCUAAUACGGGAUAAUAUAUUUGAGAGGCAUCUCUUGAAUAUCAAAGGUGAGCCAGUACAGGAUGGACCCGCGUCUGCUUAGCUAGUUGGUAAGGUAACGGCUUACCAAGGCGACGAUCAGUAGCCGACCUGAGAGGGUGAUCGGCCACAUUGGAACUGAGACACGGUCCAA
RNAcentral lists this ribosomal RNA (238 nucleotides) under uncultured bacterium. Its description in RNAcentral is "partial 16S ribosomal RNA". It matches the Rfam family "Bacterial small subunit ribosomal RNA", at positions 96 to 334 of the family's 1533-position model. The record is from RNAcentral.